RNAcentral lists this transfer RNA (73 nucleotides) under Stegodyphus mimosarum. It matches the Rfam family "tRNA". Rfam says of the family: Transfer RNA (tRNA) molecules are approximately 80 nucleotides in length. Their secondary structure includes four short double-helical elements and three loops (D, anti-codon, and T loops). Lineage: Eukaryota; Metazoa; Arthropoda; Arachnida; Araneae; Eresidae. The record is from Rfam by way of RNAcentral.
GCCUGCGUGGUGUAGUGGUCAGCACGCUCGGCGGGUUUUCGAGAGGUCCGUGGUUCGAGUCCCGGCUAUGGCG